CUGCAUUGUACAUUAACUGGGCCCUGUGGCUGUAUAGAACAUUUUUCAAUAAAAAAGAUGGCAUCAACCCAGUUAUACUUGUGUUUAUAUGGAAUACAUAAUUUAUCUAUAUUCAUUUGCUGGUACUGUAUUAUAUGUAAUAACUCAACACCUACAGUAAAAGGUGACCAUGUAUACUCCCAGCCAGCAACAGAGUGUUCAUGACUCACCGUGGGGCUAUAUAACAGUGAUGACAAAGAGAACUGUUUUAAUUAAAGUGUGUUUUUUUUAUUGCCUCAAGGUUAUUUGGUACUGAGAAUACAGAAUAGACAUGUGGUAACAUUGUUAAGUGUUUC
Pelobates cultripes (western spadefoot toad) is the source of this 335-nucleotide non-coding RNA. The record is from the annotation of a GenBank genome assembly. Lineage: Eukaryota; Metazoa; Chordata; Amphibia; Anura; Pelobatidae.